This 212-nucleotide long non-coding RNA is filed under the name Gossypium raimondii (Peruvian cotton). RNAcentral's name for it is "long non-coding RNA (GRAI_LNC001961)". The record is from RNAcentral. Lineage: Eukaryota; Viridiplantae; Streptophyta; Magnoliopsida; Malvales; Malvaceae.
GUAGUCGGCUAAGGAGUGUUUUUGACAAAGCUUUUGAGGUUAAAGAAUGGAGGAGGGAUGGACGGCUAUGCAAGGGAAAAAGGGAAAAAGAAUUGAGAUGAAAACUAGUGAGAGUGGGAAAAGAAUAUUGAGGGAUGAGGGAUGAUCCUAGAAGCGAGGGAUGUCAAGGUACUUAUAAGUGAAAGUAAGGGUUUGAGUUUACUAAAAAUAGG